Molecule: microRNA precursor, 94 nt
Filed under: Marmota monax (woodchuck)
Lineage: Eukaryota; Metazoa; Chordata; Mammalia; Rodentia; Sciuridae
Source: RNAcentral
CUCUGCCUUCAAAGAGCCUAUUAUUUAGUUAUUUAGAAAUUAUUGAUUUUCUCUCUCCUCACCAGCUAAAUAAUAGGCUCUUUGAAGGCAGAGA